GAAAUGCGAUAAGUAAUGUGAAUUGCAGAAUUCCGUGAAUCAUCGAAUCUUUGAACGCACAUUGCGCCCCCUGGCAUUCCGGGGGGCAUGCCUGUCCGAGCGUCAUUUCUGCCCUCAAGCACGGCUUGUGUGUUGGGUGUGGUCCCCCCGGGGACCUGCCCGAAAGGCAGCGGCGACGUCCGUCUGGUCCUCGAGCGUAUGGGGCUCUGUCACUCGCUCGGGAAGGACCUGCGGGGGUUGGUCACCACCAUAUUUCACCACGGUUGACCUCGGAUCAGGUAGGAGUUACCCGCUGAACUUAAG
Molecule: unclassified non-coding RNA, 303 nt
Filed under: plant metagenome
Description: partial contains 5.8S ribosomal RNA, internal transcribed spacer 2, and large subunit ribosomal RNA
Rfam family: 5.8S ribosomal RNA (bases 1-105)
Source: RNAcentral